GUUUACUUUUCUACACUGGUUAGAGGUAUAGGGGGAGGGUUGAGAUCUCACAAACAUGUUUAACCUCGCCGCAUUUUUGCGCCUGUCCCAAGUCAGGAGCCUCUAGCCUUUGUUAGUCUUGUAUUAUUUUAAUUUUAGUUUCUUGUGUACAAUUUGGAAAUUAGUAUGGCGUUCAUUAUCACUGGACUAGUAUAUAUUUGUU
This 202-nucleotide long non-coding RNA is filed under the name Mytilus galloprovincialis (Mediterranean mussel). Lineage: Eukaryota; Metazoa; Mollusca; Bivalvia; Mytilida; Mytilidae. The record is from RNAcentral.